UAAUGACAGACCUAAUGAAAGAAAUAGAUCUGAAGCCAUUACAUUCGAAAAACAAGAUUCUCCUCUACAGUCGCUACGUUCUUUCAAAACUCUCAUGGCAUUUCACUAUAACAUCAAUUCAAAAAACGUGGAUUUCGGAAAACCUGGACUCAGUUUUCAAACAAUACAUUCGUAAGUGGCUUGAGGUACCUAUUUCUGGAUCACUUAGUAACAUUUACCUAACUAGUAACAAAUUUGGUCUGAACAUUAUCCCCCCAUCAACUAAAUUCAUACAAUGUCAAACAACUAUCCGCAGUGCUUUGAAGUCAUCUCCUAAUGAAUCAAUAAUCCACCUCUGGAAAUCGACCUGUAAUCAUACUAAUACCCAAUAUGAUCAGUAUACGUCGACAAAAGAAGUAAUCAAGUCAUUCCGUGAAGUUCAUGAAGAUAAAUUGGAAAAUCGGUUAAAAUGUCA
Non-coding RNA from Paramuricea clavata, 454 nucleotides. NCBI's taxonomy places the organism in Eukaryota, Metazoa, Cnidaria, Anthozoa, Malacalcyonacea, Plexauridae. The record is from the annotation of a GenBank genome assembly.